AAAAAUUUUAACAACAGAAAGCAAAGGUCAGAGAAAGUCAGGUAGCCUCAGCAGCCCUUCUCCAGCUUACUUUGCUUCUGAAAUGAAUACGUAUCAAACCAUGUAUUUGUAGCCAAUGAGAAAAAUGCAAACGAGCAAGACUCUGUCUUUGUCCUGUCUCAGGCCUUCUGCUGUCAAAACAACUUCACCAGGAAGAUAAGAGAGCUCCAGAUAUGAAGAG
This is a non-coding RNA of Pogona vitticeps (central bearded dragon), 220 nucleotides long. The record is from RefSeq and is a predicted model, not a curated record. NCBI's taxonomy places the organism in Eukaryota, Metazoa, Chordata, Lepidosauria, Squamata, Agamidae.